RNAcentral lists this long non-coding RNA (2289 nucleotides) under Salmo salar (Atlantic salmon). Its description in RNAcentral is "lncRNA (ENSSSAG00000115480.1)". The record is from RNAcentral. Lineage: Eukaryota; Metazoa; Chordata; Actinopteri; Salmoniformes; Salmonidae.
UAAAUAAGGCUUUAUGACUGCUGAAUACCAACUAUCAAUCACUUAGAUCAUGUAUUUACAGGUAGAGAGAUACCUGAUGAAGAUACUGCUCUCCAUCCCUCUGUCUCUGUCUGCCCCACACAGACCGGACAAGUAGGAUAUUACUGCACUGUUGGAGCUAGGAACACAAGCAUUUCGCUCCACCCGCAAUAACAUCUGCUAAAUAUGUGUAUGUGACCAGUAAAAUUAGAUUUGAUUUGAUUAUGGUCAUUGUAGUUAAUUAGUACGUUUUCUCGGCUAAACUAUGUAGAAUAUUGGCCUAUUGAAAACUACAUCUCCCUACUACAUCGUACAGUUCAGGCUGGAUCUGAUGUAUCUCUAGAGAAACUACAUCUCCCUAAUACAUCGUACAGUUCAGGCUGGAUAUGAUUUAUCUCUAGAGAAACUACAUCUCCCUACUACAUCGUACAGUUCAAAGCUGGAUAUGAUUUAUCUCUAGAGAAACUACAUCUCCCUACUACAUCGUACAGUUCAGGCUGGAUAUGAUGUAUCUCUAGAGAAACUGUGAAAUGUGGCAUUGAGCUCAUAGAACAAUUAUAAGAAAAUGGAAUUUAAAUCAUUUAAAACUUAAAAGUAACCAAAAUGUUGGUUAAUCGCUCAGCACUAUCAAGACCAUACUGCAGUGCGUUUUUCCCCAUUCUGCCACUCAAAUGCUGCAGCAGUUAUAUUGUCUGUUGGUCUGUCUGUCUAUCUGGUCUGUCAGUCUGUCUAGUCUGUCUGUCUGUCUGUCUGUCUGUCUGUCUGUCUGUCUGUCUGUCUGUCUGUCUGUCUGUCUGUCUGUCUGUCUGUCUGUCUGUCUGUCUGUCAGGUCUGCAUGUCUGUAUGUCAUUCUGUCUAUCUGUCCGUCUGCUGUCUGUCUGUCAUUCUGUCUGGCCUGUGUGUCUGUCUGUGUCUGUUUGUCGGGUCUGUCGAUCUGGUCGGUGUCUGUCUGUCUGUCUGUCUGUCUGUCUGUCUGUCUGUCUGUCUGUCUGUCUGUCUGUCUGUCUGUCUGUCUGUCUGUCUGUCUGUCUGUCUGUCUGUCUCUCUUAACAGUUAAUUUCUGAGAUAUUAAUCUCCAAGGAUCUGACCCUAAUUAGUUUGAAGGAAAUGAAAGAGCAAACCUAAAGUACUGCACAACUCAACAGCACUACUUUAUUGAAAUGUGGGUUGUUCUAAUCUACUCAAAUGCACCUUUUUCUGGGUCACACAGAAGACUCAGAUCAGUAUAGUAUCCCGUAUUAGAACCACAAAUUCUAGGUCCAUUUAUUUUGAAACAGUCAGGUAGAAAACAGGAUAUAUAAAAGAGGCAGAUAUAUCCGUUUAAAGAUAAACAAAAUGGUUGCUCUCACCCAAAAUACAAAAAGUACAGAGAGACAGUAAAGCACGAAGCCCACUCUGGAUGUUCAGGGAUAAAAACUCAAGAGUGGUCGUCCCUGAGGAAACUGAGCAAAGCUAUGGUUUCUACCCUGUCACAACCCUGUCAAUUGGACUUGCUCAACUCUUGCAUCCUCCAUCUGCUGCGUCCUCUCUCCUCCGUCCUCUCUCUCUCUCUCUCUCUCAUCUCCUUUUGAAAAAGGUCAAAGGUAAUCGAGGAGAGACCGCGAGGAAAGGGAAAGUGGACAAAGAAAAUGCGCUUGCAGGAAAAGAGACUCCUUCUUCACUCGCGGGUCAUUAGGCUAAUGAGGUUUACAGGGGUGGAUCCCAUAAUAAACGUGGAAAGGGAUAACAUUAAAUUAGUUGUUCCAGACAUUUUAUAGAUAAAUGAUAAGUAGUGUUUUUAAGCAGGUUCAUUUUUUCUCUCUCGCUUCUGACAAAACAAAAGCUGAUCCAAAGGAGGUAAGGAAUUGACAUCUCCUCGAACACUGAUCUGUUUCCCGGGCAGGGAGGAAACAAGACAGGCUGUUGCCCAAAUGAGAAAAGGCCUCUGCCCUAGACUCUUGUAGGAUUACAUUGUAUUUAUGUAACAGUUUAGCAUCCGUCCCUCUCCUCGCCCCUACCUGGGCUCGAACCAGGGACCCUCUGCACACAUCGACGACAGCCACCCUCGAAGCAUCGUUACCCAUCGCUCCACAAAAGCCGAGGCCCUUGCAGAGCAAGGAGAACAACUACUUCAAGGUCUCAGAGCGAGUGACGUCACCCGAUUGAAACGCUAUUAGCGCGCAUCACCGCUAACUAGCUAGCCAUUUCACAUCGGUUACAUUUAGAAUUGCAGAACAUUAUGAGGAAAGCCUUUACAUGGAUAGUCCCAACUAGAUGUUCUGUAGAUGUUCC